GCACCUUUCUUGGCUGAUCCCUUUCGCUGUAUGGCGUGCUCGUUUGGGUUGGGCGUCGGCUAAGAGUGCUCGGAGUGUGGAUUAACUCCAGUCUCCUAUCAGGUGAGCCUUGAUGUGGGGACUUGGGCCGGAGGGGAUUCAGAGUAGCCACGGUGAUUGUCUUUUGGCUUUUAAACAAGCAUUGGCUUUCAUUAAAUUUCCUUUAAUUAUUAUUUAUUUUUGGGUUGUAAUAAGGCCAUUUUAACUUUUCUUUUAUUUCUUCUCGAGAUUAUUUUAUUUUUAAUAACUUCAAA
Molecule: long non-coding RNA, 293 nt
Organism: Gossypium arboreum
Lineage: Eukaryota; Viridiplantae; Streptophyta; Magnoliopsida; Malvales; Malvaceae
Exons: 2
Source: RefSeq, a predicted model, not a curated record